Molecule: ribosomal RNA, 484 nt
Filed under: uncultured bacterium
Lineage: Bacteria
Description: partial 16S ribosomal RNA
Rfam family: Bacterial small subunit ribosomal RNA
Source: RNAcentral
AUUGAACGCUGGCGGCAGGCCUAACACAUGCAAGUCGAGCGGAUGAAGGGAGCUUGCUCCUGGAUUCAGCGGCGGACGGGUGAGUAAUGCCUAGGAAUCUGCUUGGUAGUGGGGGAUAACGUCCGGAAACGGGCGCUAAUACCGCAUCCGUCCUGAGGGAGAAAGUGGGGGAUCUUCGGACCUCACGCUAUCAGAUGAGCCUAGGUCGGAUUAGCUAGUUGGUGGGGUAAAGGCCUACCAAGGCGACGAUCCGUAACUGGUCUGAGAGGAUGAUCAGUCAAGCUGGAACUGAAACACGGUCCGAUCGCCUACGAGAGGCAGCAGAGGGGAAUAUUGGACAAUGGGCGAAAGCCUGAUCCAGCCAUUCCGAGUGUGUGAAGAAGGUCUUCAGAGUGUAAAGCACUUUAAGUUGAGAGUAAGGGCAGUAAGUUAAUACCUUGCUGUGUUGACGUUACCAACAGAAUAAGCACCGGCUAACUUCGUG